Molecule: small RNA, 27 nt
Filed under: Bombyx mori (domestic silkworm)
Lineage: Eukaryota; Metazoa; Arthropoda; Insecta; Lepidoptera; Bombycidae
Description: ovarian small RNA-21700
Source: RNAcentral
UACUUUAGAUAUGAAGUGUCAGUUGGG